GAGACAGGGUCUCACUGUGUCGUCCAGGCUGCCGUGCAGUGGUGUGAUCUCAGCCCACUACAGCCUCAACCUCCUGGGCUCAAGCGAUCCUCCCACCUCAGCCUCCAGAAUAGCUGAGACUACAGGCGCACACCACCGCACCCGGCUAAUUUUUUGUAUUUUUAGUAGAGACGAGGUUUUGCCAUGUUGCCCAGGCUGGUCUCAAACUCCUGGAUUCAAGGGUUCCACCCACCUCCCCCUCCCAAGUGUUGGGAUUACAGGUGUGAGCCACAGGGCCCCCCCUCUGCUUUCCUUUCAAUGAUUAAAUUCUGUCUUUAGAUUAUUCCUCUGCUCCUAAAUCUUUGUCUUUUUCUUUUUUUUUUUUUUUUUUGAGACAGAGUCUCCCUCUGUCACCCAGGCAGAGGUUGCAGUGAGCCAAGAUCACAGCACUGCAUUCCAGCCUGGGAGACAGAGAGACUGUGUCUCAAGUAAUAAAAUAAAAUAAUUUAGCCAGUUUUAGAUGUUCUGUUGUGAGCAACAGAAAGAAGACUAAGACAUCACAUAUAAUAUAUAUAUAUAUAGAUAUCUAUCAUAUAUCCUUGUGUCAGAGGUGUUUGAACCAGAGUGAUUCCAUCUUGAAUAGGAAAUGGGUAAAAUGAGACUGACACCUGCUGGCCUCAUCCCAGGAGGUUAGGCAUUCUAAGUCACAGGGUGAGAGAUAAGAGGUCACAAGAGAGACAGGUCACAAAGGCCCAGCUGAUAAAACAGGAUGCAGGCCAGGCGCGGUGGCUCACACCUGUAAUCCCAGCACUUUGGGAGGCUGAGGUGGGCGGAUCACGAGGUCAGGAGAUCAAGACCAUCCUGGCUAACACAGUGAAACCCCGUCUCUACUAAAAAUACAAAAAAUUAGACGGGUAUGGCGGCGGACACCUGUAGUCCCAGCUACUCGAGAGGCUGAGGCAGGAGAAUGUGUGAACCCGGGGGGCGGAGCUUGCAGUGAGCUGAGAUCGCACCACUGCACUCCAGCCUGGGCGACAGAGCAAGACUCCAUCUCAAAAUAAAUAAAUAAAUAAAUAAAAAUAAAUAAAUAAAUAAAUAAA
RNAcentral lists this long non-coding RNA (1079 nucleotides) under Homo sapiens (human). RNAcentral's name for it is "HSALNT0215782". Lineage: Eukaryota; Metazoa; Chordata; Mammalia; Primates; Hominidae. The record is from RNAcentral.